This is a non-coding RNA of Xyrichtys novacula (pearly razorfish), 7650 nucleotides long. NCBI's taxonomy places the organism in Eukaryota, Metazoa, Chordata, Actinopteri, Labriformes, Labridae. The record is from the annotation of a GenBank genome assembly.
GAGUUUACUCAAGAGAAGAGCUCCUUUCAUUCAGGAAAAGCAAAUCUGGACAACAACAUACAAUUCCAGAGGACAUCAGGAGGUGCUAUUGUGGUUACUGUGCUGGUGCAAAGGUGAAGGUAAAGUUGAAUGCUAGAAAUUGGAGAUAUAUACCCUUUCUUCCAUCAAUCAUCAGGGGAAAUGUCAACUCUCUGCCCAACAAAAGCGAUGAGCUGGAGAUAUUGGUGAAGACUGAGAAAGCAUACCAUGAGUGCAGUUUCCUGUGUUUUACUGAAACCUGGUUGAAUCAAAACAACUCGGAAUCCAGUGUGGAUCUACCUGGCUUCACUAUCAUAAGGUCAGACAGAGAUGCUCAAGCUAGUGGCAAGAAGAAAGGAGGAGGUAUAGCUUUAUUUGUCAACCAGAGAUGGUGUAACCCUUCACACAUAACUGUCAAGGAGAAGUUGUGUUGUCCAGAUAUUGAACUGUUGGCAGUUGCUCUUCGGCCAUAUUAUGUUCCAAGAGAAUGCAGUCAUAUAACGUAGUUGUUUACAUCCCACCCAAUUCAACUGCUGAAAUUCUAUUCGAUCUUUUGCAUAAUAGUGUUGCCAGGUUACAGACUCUAAACCCUUAGGCACAAAAAACAAUAUCAGGAGACUUCAACCAUCGAUCAUGUUCGAAUUUUCAAGUGCAGUCAACACCAUCCAACCUACCAUACUCAAAAAUAAUUUCACAGAGAUGACAGCGGAUCCUGCCUGUGUUUUCUGGAUCACAAAUUACCUGGCAGGAAGGCCACAGUUUGUCAGGCUGGGGAACUGUGCAGUAAAGGGGCUCCACAAGGGAGUGCUGGCACCAUUCCUGUUCACACUGUAUAUGUCAGACUUCAAAAACAGCACUGAGUCCUGCCAUAUCCAGAAAUAUUUUGAUGACACUGCUAUUGUGGCAUGUAUCAGAAAUGGACAAGAAGCUGAAUACAGAGAUCUAAUAAGAGCCUUCAGUGACUGGAGUCACAAAAAAUGCCUCCUCCUCAACACCUCAAAGACAAAAGAAAUGAUCAUAGACUUCCACAGAUCCAAACCCCCUAUUCAGCCAGUAAAAACAUGUGGAGUGGACAGGGAAGUGGUGACAUCAUAAAAAUAUCUAGGUGUACAUCUGGAUAAUAAGUUGGACUGGUUUAAGAAUAUAGACCUCAUCUACAAAAAGGAGGAGAGCUGCCUCUUUUGCCUGAGAAAACUCCGAUCAAUAGACAUCUGUAGUAAGAUGCUGCAGAUGUUUUAUCAGUCUGUGGUGGCAAGUGUUCUGUUCUACGCUGCAGUCUGCUGGGGAGGAAGCAUCAAACACAGAUACAAGACGUCUGAACAAACUGGUGAAAAAGGCUGGCUUUGUGGUUGGAUUCAAGUUGGACUCAGUGGAGGAUGUGGUGGAGAGAUCUACACUGAGGAAGGUGGAGACUAUUCUAAAGAGCAUGGAUCACCCACUUCACAACACCUUGAUGGACCAUAGGGCCAAUGGUGGUGGACGGCUCCUCUCUUUACGUUGGACAGAAAGAUUCAGAAGAUCUUUUUGUACCCACAGCCAUCUGUAUCUUGUAUAAAUAGUAGAUAACUUGAGACACCAGACUACAGACAAUAGAAUUUCCCUUCAAGGAUCAAUAAAGUUCUUCAAUUUUUCCACCUGGAUGAAGGAUGCAUGAAAUGAUGGAAGAGGCAAACUAACUGAGUGCAGAGGAGCAGAAGUCGAUUUGGUGCCUCUGCAGAAGCUCCUUGAUGGUAUACUGCUGUGAUAGGUUUCUGGCAUUUUGUUGAGCAAAGAGAGGCCAGCAAUCCAUCCCCCUAUGUAUCCGGCCUCCUCCCCAGACAGUCAUUGAGUCUCCAAACCAGAGAGUCAUAGAGCCUCUUAACCAGACAUCUAGGUGACCACUUCGCUUGAGAACACAGCAUUUUGUACAACCUCAAACCAGCCACCCUGCUGGUCAGCAACCCACGCUGGUACUCAGCCAGCCAGUUGCACUGCCAGUCAGCUGGCCGGCCCACCAGCCUGCAAUGAUGCUCCUUCACCUAAAGGGUGGUCGAUGAGGUUGAUGUUUGUUGCUUUUUAGUCAUCAUUUUGUACCCGUCUUGCUCCUGUUUUGCAGAGUCUUUAACUGGUAUUAAGAGGUUUUGAUCAAUCAGAAUUAAGUAUUUAAUGUAGACAUGCAAUUCAUAAGAAAGCUGCGUAAUAAGGUAACAUAAUUUAUGCUUUGUGACAAGUAUUUGUUUUGAGCAGUUUUCACACAUUUCUCCUGUUACAGUAAUGUUUCUAUUUUGGGAGUCCAGACUUCUGCACUGCCACAUGUUCACCCUUUGACCAAAUUUACAUAUGAACACAGCAGUGUUAUUGCAGAGAAAUGACCCACUGGAUAAAGUCACUUCAGCAGUUUCGUCCAGAGAAAGGUUGGGGACAUGAACAUAGCACCAAACAUGUACCACGUUUAUGGUUUUGGAUGACAAAGAGUGUGAUGAAGAUUGUACUGGCUCACCUUGGUGCGAAAGUCCUUUGAUCUGAUCCGUUCUGUUGAGUCAAAAGGUUGGAAGUAGUCUUUUAUUGUGUCAAACACAAAAAGAACAAUGCCUUUCCUCCAGUGUGUGUGAGUUCAAACACUGGCUACAGGCAAUUACCCCUUUAAGUUCAGCAGCAGCAGACAGUGUUUCAGAUACACGCUCUCUGAAGGUUUAGCAGAUUGAAUUAUAGCGGCCUCUCAGGGACAGCUACAUGCCACCACUUAUCUUUUACCCACACACACACACAAACACCCCGAGCACUGAGGAGUCCUUAAUCACCAAAAUAACUCUGAGCCUUAAAACAGUGUCUGUCUUUUGGAGGCCUGUUUUUGAUGUUGGUGUGACUGGGACCACAUAAAUGGGAUGUUCCAUAUUGAUGAAGGCAGAAAUGAAACUAAAGAACCAAACAAAACACAAGGACAUUAACGGGAACACAGAGGAGAAAUAAUAAUAAUAAUAAUGCUUCAGAUUUCAUAUAGCGCUUUAUCAGAGACCCUCAAAGUGCUUUACAUUGUAUACAUCAUUUAUCGAAAUAUGUAGUAAACUGGGGAAAAAAUUAUGAUACACACUAGAGCCCUGCACGGGAAUGUUUUCUUCAUCCCACUCCUGCCCGCUCUCACUGAAUUUCUGAUCAUUACCUUCUGCAAUCACAAUGUGUCUGUUACACUCCCACAAUGUGUUUGUUCACUGCUGCCCCCACUGUGAAUUUAUGCCUGCAUGAUAACAGAAAUGCAUUGAUUUUGUGUCUCCUCAUGUCCCGCAGGAGGAGCACAUAAUUUUUGGCUACUAAUAAAGAUAUUUAGGGGGUUGUUUGUUUUGUUUCCCUGGCCUGCAUGUCUUUGAUGCACUGGUCAGAAAUAUUGCUCUUAUGUCAUUUUUUUUCACUUAGUUUAAAAUGAAAUUAAGGCAGUUUCAUAUUCUUUUCUCCUCCUGUGUGUUUUAGUUAUUUUUCUACCUAAAAUCAUUUUAAUACAUUGAGGUUAAAGUCUCUUUUUUAAGAGUGACCUGAAUGAGAAACAUUAUCAGGAAUACAAUCAGCUGAUAGACAGCAUUACACAAUAAAUUUAAAUAUCCCUUUGUUUUAUCAAACCUUGUGUGCCAUCACACAGCACAUAAAAAUAGACUGCUUUGCAAAAAAAUACAAUAUGAUAAAGAACAUGAAAAACAGCUGUUUCAAAACUGUUAGCCAGACGUUGCAGCUAUACUGUUUGAAAAAUAUGAAUAAAAACAUUCAAACUUAAUAACACAUCAUUACACCUCAUUUACCCUAAUCAACAAAUAGCAACAAGUGUAGGCUGCGAGUGGCUUAAAUAACACUAAUAAACAACAUAAAAUGAACAAAGUUGACAAAUAAAUUUAACAAAUAAAUUCACUCUGCUAUAAUAUUGCUGAAAGAGAAUGUUUCCCAUCCUGUGCAACUCUCUCAGAGAUGUGCCAACAGACACUAAAGGUCCACUCUGUAGGCACACUGGAUACGGAUAUAGGGAUAUAUCCAGCUCACCAAACUCCACCCUCCCACCCACCUCCCUAAUCACCUGCCUAUCCGAAAUUAAAGCCUGGUUCACCGCCAAUUUUCUCCAACUUAACAGUCAGAAAACAGAAAUUCUUCUCGUAGGUUCAAAAUUCACCCUAUCCAAAGUUGACAGUCUCUCCCUUCCCAUCGACAGUUCCUCAGUUUCCCCCUCACCUCAGGUCAAGAGUCUGGGUGUCGUUCUUGACAGUACUCUUUCUUUCAAAUCACACAUCAGCCAUACCACUCGGACUGCCUACUUCCACCUCCGCCACAUCAAUCGGCUCCGUCCCUCCCUCUCCCCCAACUCCACCUCCAUCCUCGUCCACAAUCUCAUCACCUCCCGUCUGGACUACUGUAUCUCCCUCCUCUUCGGUCUCCCUCACACGUCUCUCCAUAAACUUCAACUAGUCCACAACUCCGCUGCCCGGAUCAUCACCAAAACCCCUUCGUCCCACCACAUCACCCCCAUCCUACAGCAGCUUCACUGGCUCCCGGUCCCACUUAGAAUCCAGUUCAAAAUCCUCCUGUAUACCUUUAAAGCCAUCCACAACCUCGCCCCUCGUUACCUGUCUGACCUCCUCCACAUCGCCACUCCAUCACGCCGCCUCUGAUCCUCUUCCUCUCUCCACCUCACUGUGCCCCCUGUUCACCUCAGCACCAUGGGGGGCAGAGCUUUCAGUCGCUCUGCCCCCCGACUCUGGAACUCUUUACCAUCACACAUCCGCAACAUAGACUCCCUCCCCCUCUUCAAGUCCAAACUCAAGACACACCUGUUUAAACUGGCCUAUCCCUCCCACCACCCCAACUCACUUUUUUAAAUUAAAUUUCAAUUGCUAUUAUUCAUUUCUUUAUUUAUUCCUUUGCUGUUGUUCAUGUUUUAAUGUUGCUUUGUUGAUUUUAACUGUUUUGAUGAUUGAUGAUUUUAAUUGUUAAUAGUGUUUUAUUAUUGUUUUAUAUGUUCUGUAAAGUGUCCUUGAGUGACGUGAAAGGCGCUUCAAAUAAAAUGUAUUAUUAUUAUUAUUAUUAUUAUUAUUAUUAAGAUGAAACACACAGGCUUUGAGGUCACUAGGAAGUGCUCUUCACUGAACUUCCACCGUUUUUUUCUACAUCAUUUGUUGACUCCAUCAUCCUGUUGCUAGGUUACAUCCCAUCCCUCAGUGUUUAUUUUUUUAUUUUUUAUUUUAUUUUAUUUUAAAGUUUAAACCACCCACUCCAGAUGCAGCCCUCUAAUGUGGCGUUCACACUUAGUGCAAGUAAAAUCAUCUACUAGCUUAAUUCGCGCAAAUCUAGACGUGUGAAUGAAAAGUAUUUACCCGCUUCAUUCACACAAAUAAUUUGCUGUAUUCACAAAAAUUAGUCCAUCCACGCAGUUUGUGUGUCAACAGUCUAAAAGCUGUGGAUAGCUGCUUAUGUUAAUUUCAACAGCGCUCCUUGCAAAGUAAACCGGAGGGAUCAAGUGAUAGACAACAGUUUUUCACAAUUUACCAGAUAUUCCAACCUCUUCACUCACUUUCCUCCUUUUCCUCACUUUUUAUUCCUGUUUUUAUUAAAAAAGCCAUGGAUUCAAGAGAAGGGGAGAGUGUCCAUCAAGCAUGGUAGGAGUGAACCACAUUCAGUAGAUUGCUGCUUUGUUUUUGUUGUUGAAGGCCCACAACCAUCGGAAAUGUAGGGGCCACCAUGUCUGGGUCUCCUACAAUAGCUGUGCCUGGACGGCAGGCAUUUCCAGCAGUAUUUUCUGGUAACCCAAACCCAAUUUGACGACCUGUCGGUGAGGGUCAGUGCCAGGAUAUCCCUCCAGGAUACCAAUUACAGGCGCUCUAUCCCAGCUGCAGAGCACCUGUCCAUCUGUCUACUGUGAAUACAGGGUAAAUUUGUGGAAAUAUUUUCACACCAGUGAACAUCUUCCGGUCCGUUCAUGCAUUGGUUAUCGCGACGCAAAUCUCUGCUCAAGUUGUGAUAUUUUCAACUCUCGCAAAUUCACACUAUUCAAUGACUUGUUCUAUUCACGCAAAUAACUGCUCAACCUAUUAAAAGUUGCACUGAAUCUUAAAGGACAAUUUGUUUGCACAAUUUGAAAAUGCACACACACGCGAACCAGGUUUGUUUCUGAAAAACAUUUAAACUUCAUUGUUCUCGAACAUGCCCUGCUCUGGUCCUAGUUCUCUGACUCUCCUGUGUCCUCUGUUUUUAUCCUGCAACAAGUGAGAUCUUAGCAGCUAAACUACUGUAUGUUUAUAUUUUAGAGAGGUUCUUUUGAUGGAAGGUCAUCCACCAGUAACAGGAGUAAUACAUAGUGGUGAUGGAGCUGGAUCUGUGGCCAAGGCUAAAGCAUUAGAGGGAGGUCUCGAUCACCACAACUGUCUAACCUGUAACUAUACACAAGGGAGACUGUCCUGCAGUGGCGGAAGACCAGUGAUGGGCUUAGUCAUAGGCAGUGGCGGCUGCUGGUCUUUCAAGGAGGGGAAGCUCAUUUUUCUGGCCUACAUCAUUAUUGUAUUUGUUUAUUAGUAUGUAACAGAACAGAGUCGCCAAACACAACGGCAGUCGUUUUUGACAAAGACAAAAGUCGCUGAGGAUCGGUAAAGUCUCUGGAGCAGUUAAGAACAACGGAAUGAGUGACUUGGAAAAUGCUCUGGUAGAUGUUUUAUUCUUCAAGAUCGCUGAUUCGCUUGUUUAGCUGUCAAUCAAAAAAGGAUUUCGCCUCAGACAGCUCAUCCAAUCAUGAAUGCAGAAGCUUGGAGUCCGGGAGAAAGUCGGGACCGCCCUCUCGCCAUAGAACUCCAGUGAAGCUGGGCUUCCAUUGGGCGGGACAAAGCCCAGCAUUUAUCCAAUGAGCGUCUAGUUUCGCUGCUGGAACAACCCACUUUAAGCUUCCACACUGAAGUCAGCAGAAGCCCAGCGUCCGACUGUUUGAAGCGCUGAGGCGCUGCGAGGAUGAAUGAGAACGAAGUUAUGCCGGUUACCUGUGAUUAUCAGCUUCUUAUCACAGUGUCUGAACAAAAGUUGAAGGCUUUCUAGUGCGUAUUUAGUUAAUGAAAUGUACACACAGCCGUACGUAUUUCACCACUUUUUCUUUUUUUGGGGGGUGACAUUUUAAGGGAAGCCGAGCUUCCCUUGCAGUCUUAGAGCAAUCGCCACUGGUCAUAGGGUACCUGUCCCAUACCCACAGCUGUGAGUUAGCAUCACAGACAUAUGGGGGGAAUGCACACCUGUGACCAGAUGCUGUGAACAAACCCAGCCCAUAAUAGUUUUUCAGUACCUUUUGGGCAUUGCUGUCACUAACAGCCUCAUUGUGUGCAAGGAGCUCAACAAUAGACAGCAGCAGAAGCUAGUGACACACCAGGCUUUCCAAGAGGAGAUGUGUGCAAAGCUGCUUGAUGUAGCUGGCCCACCCAAGCCCGCUGCUCAACACCACUUUCCUGUCCCCACCAACAAAAGACAGGAGGAUAAAAGAUAAAGGAUGAGCCUUGGGAGGAAACAGUGCACUCUCUGCAAAACAACAAAAAAAGAUUGGGCUCUGUCUUCAGCUGGACAGGAAAUGCUUUAUUGACCACCACUGCAGCUAAAAGCACCUGGACAUGGACAAAUAUAACAAUCUGUAACAUGGACCCUGAGAGC